Molecule: ribosomal RNA, 494 nt
Filed under: uncultured bacterium
Lineage: Bacteria
Description: partial 16S ribosomal RNA
Rfam family: Bacterial small subunit ribosomal RNA
Source: RNAcentral
GACGAACGCUGGCGGCGUGCUUAACACAUGCAAGUCGAACGGUGAAGCGCCUUCCUUUUUGGUGGGUGCGGAUGAGUGGCGAACGGGUGAGUAACACGUGAGUAACCUGCCCCCUUCUUCUGGAUAACCGCAUGAAAGUGUGGCUAAUACGGGAUAUUCUGGGUCUGUCGCAUGAUGGGUCUGGGAAAGAUAUUGUUUCGGUGGGGGAUGGGCUCGCGGCCUAUCAGCUUGUUGGUGGGGUGAUGGCCUACCAAGGCGGUGACGGGUAGCCGGCCUGAGAGGGUUGACGGUCACACUGGGACUGAGACACGGCCCAGACUCCUACGGGAGGCAGCAGUGGGGAAUAGUGCACAAUGGGCGCAAGCCUGAUGCAGCGACGCCGCGUGAGGGAUGGAGGCCUGCGGGUUGUGAACCUCUUUCGCCAGUGAAGCAGGCCUGCCUCGUUUGUGGGUGGGUUGACGGUAGCUGGAUAAGAAGCGCCGGCUAACUACGUG